This 407-nucleotide ribosomal RNA is filed under the name uncultured Streptococcus sp. RNAcentral describes it as "bacterial SSU rRNA". It matches the Rfam family "Bacterial small subunit ribosomal RNA", at positions 974 to 1382 of the family's 1533-position model. The record is from RNAcentral. Lineage: Bacteria; Bacillati; Bacillota; Bacilli; Lactobacillales; Streptococcaceae.
CCAGGUCUUGACAUCCCGAUGCUAUUUCUAGAGAUAGAAAGUUACUUCGGUACAUCGGUGACAGGUGGUGCAUGGUUGUCGUCAGCUCGUGUCGUGAGAUGUUGGGUUAAGUCCCGCAACGAGCGCAACCCCUAUUGUUAGUUGCCAUCAUUCAGUUGGGCACUCUAGCGAGACUGCCGGUAAUAAACCGGAGGAAGGUGGGGAUGACGUCAAAUCAUCAUGCCCCUUAUGACCUGGGCUACACACGUGCUACAAUGGUUGGUACAACGAGUUGCGAGUCGGUGACGGCGAGCUAAUCUCUUAAAGCCAAUCUCAGUUCGGAUUGUAGGCUGCAACUCGCCUACAUGAAGUCGGAAUCGCUAGUAAUCGCGGAUCAGCACGCCGCGGUGAAUACGUUCCCGGGCCUU